Long non-coding RNA from Pipistrellus kuhlii (Kuhl's pipistrelle), 661 nucleotides. RefSeq lists it as uncharacterized. The record is from RefSeq and is a predicted model, not a curated record. The transcript is spliced from 6 exons. Lineage: Eukaryota; Metazoa; Chordata; Mammalia; Chiroptera; Vespertilionidae.
UGGCGCUAGGAUCUGGGGUUGAUGGUGGGAGAUGCACUUGCUGUGCCCAUGUGGCUUGUGGCCAUGUGGGCUCCGCACAUGGACUACUAGACUUGAAUUAGCUUGGAUACUAACUACUCAAGACUGUAACAUGGAAAGGAAGCUCUGGACACUGGCCUGUUCCUGGAACCCCAGCUGAACCUUUUUAGGACUGACUUCUCUCAGUAAACUUCUGUUUAACAAUCAUUUUGGUCUGGGGCUUCAUUCUUCUAUUUCACAAGAUAAUGAACUAGGACUCAGCAUCCCACAUCUGGGAUUCACUCUCUCUGCUGGGCUGUUGAGUUGAAUUUUAUCUUCGGCCCUUUGUGCUCCUCCUUCUCAGGUCUUCAGCCUGGGACUGCAAUUUACAUCAUUGGCUCCCGGGCUCUGAACCCUUCCAGCCACAUCACCAACUCUCCUGGGUCUCCAGCUAACAGAAGGCAGAUCAUGGGACUUCUGUGCCUCCAUAGUCAUGCUUCUCAGGUAACGCUUGAGUUCUGGGCACCAAUGCUGCUGAAAAACCUUCAAAAAAGCAAAUCUACUCUCCAUUACUGAAGUGCAAUAUUCCCAGUUCCCCAGAAAUUGGUCUCAGAACCCAUCUCAUUUUGGUAACGUGUGCCCUGAGGAGGAACCAAGAUGACAG